UACGGAGGGGGCUAGCGUUGUCCGAAGUUACUGGGCGUAAAGCGCGCGUAGGCGGGGGAUUAAGUGAGAAGUGAAAGGCUGGGGCUCAACUCCAUGCAGUGCUUCUCAUACUGGUCUUCUUGAGGGGGGUAGAGAGAAGUGGAAUGGCUGGUGUAGCGGUGAAAUGCGUAGAUAUCAGGAGGAACACCGGUGGUGUAGACGGCUUUCUGGACCGUAACUGACGCUGAGACACGAAAGCGUGGGUAGCAAACAGG
RNAcentral lists this ribosomal RNA (254 nucleotides) under uncultured bacterium. RNAcentral's name for it is "partial 16S ribosomal RNA". It matches the Rfam family "Bacterial small subunit ribosomal RNA", at positions 524 to 776 of the family's 1533-position model. The record is from RNAcentral.